AAAUGAUCCCAUGCUGCCAAGAAAAGCCUCUAGCGAGCUUCGAGCGGCCCGUACCCCAAACCGACACAGGUGGUCAGGUAGAGAAUACCGAGGCGAUCGGGCGAACUGUGGUUAAGGAACUCGGCAAAUUACCCCCGUAACUUCGGGAGAAGGGGGGCCACAGACUGUCAUACCCCACGCGGGUGGCAGCAGUAGGUGGCCGCAGAGACCAGGGGGAAGCGACUGUUUACUAAAAACACAGGUCCGUGCGAAGUCGUAAGACGAUGUAUACGGACUGACGCCUGCCCGGUGCUGGAACGUUAAGGGGACCGGUUAGUCCGCAAGGGCGAAGCUGAGAACUUAAGCGCCAGUAAACGGCGGUGGUAACUAUAACCAUCCUAAGGUAGCGAAAUUCCUUGUCGGGUAAGUUCCGACCUGCACGAAUGGCGUAACGACUUCCCUACUGUCUCAACCACAGGCCCGGCGAAAUUGCACUACGAGUAAAGAUGCUCGUUACGCGCGGAAGAACGGAAAGACUCCGGGACCUUCACUAUAGCUUGACAUUGGUAUCCGAAUUUAAUUGUGUAGGAUAGGUGGUAGGCUUUGAUCCGCGGACGCCAGUCCGUCGGGGAGCCAACGUUGAAAUACCACUCUGUUGACUUUGGGUAUCUAACUUCGGACCGUGAUCCGGUUCAGGGACAGUGUCUGGUGGGUAGUUUAACUGGGGCGGUUGCCUCCUAAAAUGUAACGGAGGCGCCCAAAGGUUCCCUCAGCCUGGUUGGCAAUCAGGUGUUGAGUGCAAGUGCACAAGGGAGCUUGACUGUGAGACUGACAGGUCGAGCAGGGACGAAAGUCGGGACUAGUGAUCCGGCACCUGCGAGUGGAAGCGGUGUCGCUCAACGGAUAAAAGGUACCCCGGGGAUAACAGGCUGAUCUUCCCCAAGAGUCCAUAUCGACGGGAUGGUUUGGCACCUCGAUGUCGGCUCGUCGCAUCCUGGGGCUGGAGUAGGUCCCAAGGGUUGGGCUGUUCGCCCAUUAAAGCGGCACGCGAGCUGGGUUUAGAACGUCGUGAGACAGUUCGGUCCCUAUCCUCCGCGCGCGUAGGAGACUUGAGAAGAGCUGUCCCUAGUACGAGAGGACCGGGACGGACGAACCUCUGGUGUGCCAGUUGUCAUGCCAAUGGCACGGCUGGUUAGCUACGUUCGGAAGGGAUAACCGCUGAAAGCAUCUAAGCGGGAAGCUCGCUUCAAGAUGAGGUCUCCCACCCCUUAGAGGGUUAAGGCCCCCAGCUAGACCACUGGGUUGAUAGGCCAGAAGUGUAAGCCUGGUAACAGGUUCAGCCGACUGGUACUAAUAGGCCGAGGACUUCACCG
RNAcentral lists this ribosomal RNA (1352 nucleotides) under metagenome. RNAcentral's name for it is "bacterial LSU rRNA". It matches the Rfam family "Bacterial large subunit ribosomal RNA", at positions 1592 to 2925 of the family's 2925-position model. The record is from RNAcentral.